This 102-nucleotide transfer RNA is filed under the name Myxococcales bacterium. RNAcentral describes it as "tRNA-Ser". The record is from RNAcentral. Lineage: Bacteria; Pseudomonadati; Myxococcota; Myxococcia; Myxococcales.
GCCCCCGCGUGCACACCAACUGAGCCCGGGUGGACCCACCUGAGCCUGUUUCGUUCGGUCUUCUAAACCGCAGGUCGCAGGUUCGAGUCCUGCCCGGGGGCG